UGGGGCACAGAAAGUGCACUCGGCACCAUGUCAACUUUCACCUGUGCCUUAAGAGCUUGCAGAAAAGCGCCCACAUUGUCCUGGAGGGUUGGGAAAUUCUGGUAACAGGGCUGAGGAGGUGAGAGGAUCCGUGGUAAGACUCGGCGGCACCCUCGGGAUGGAGUGAAAAUCCUUUUAUCCCGGACGUCCUCUCCGUGGAAGUCGGGUUCGGCCUGGGCGGGAACCAGCACCGGGAGAGGCCGGAGAGGGCUGGAGUUGCGCGGCAGCUGGGCCCCGCCUCGGCUCGGCGCUUUCUGUCCACUCCGCUGGUCCCUCCUCGAGCUCAGGAAGCCGGAAGAUCGUAGGCCUGGAUUAAUGCCUCUUCUAUAUCAUGAAACUCCAGACAGUAUUGCUGCUGACCAAGAACUCAUUCGUUUGACAGUUGCCCUGGGUUCACGCUCACUCACCAGUUUUACCCUGAAGAAGCUAACCUGAUGGAACGUGUUUUUGAAAAUUCAGUUUCAGUGCCAGCUGGAUGACAAUGCCUUGAGGAGCCAGAUAUUUCACAGGAGGGUCUAUACCCUAAAUUAGCAACCAAUAUAAGGAGCUGUUCCUGGAAGGUGCAAAAAUGGCUGUAUUGAAGUGGACACUGAGCCUGCCCCCUGGCCAAUUGGAGGUCCUCAUGACAGGGUGUCAACAGGUAAAGAAGGUUACUUUACUAAGUGGGAUGACUGAUCCUGACCAGCUGGGUUGCUACUACACAAUGGAAGUAGGGAGGAGUAUUUGAGGAAUGCAGGAAAGCCCUUGGAGGACUCUUUGGAACUCAUUGCCCUCUGCUUAAAAGUCAAUGGAAAACUCCAACAAUCCAGUACAGGCAAGACAGAAAUGGUCUGGAGACUUUGGGAAUGAGGGCCUACAAAUCACUACCAGGCGAGAAACCUGUUAACAUUGAGGUAUGGUGCUUGCUGAGGGCAAAGGAAAUAUGGAAUGAAUAAUGAAUGAAGAAGACAGUAAUAAAUACCUGUGACAGUUGCAGAAGUGAGGACUGUAAUAGAUAUGACUAUUUCUUGCUUAUUUUGAUGUAAAUAUUUUUGUGUAUGUGUAUAUUACUCAAUAUUUUUCUUUCCUCUUCCAUCCCACUACCAGCUAACAUAAGAUGUAUUGAUAGUAGUAAACUUUUAAUCUAAGUAUUUAGAUGAGGAUAUCAAAGGGGGAAUGAAUGUGAUUCAACUGGAAAAGAUUUUAUUCUUUUGGAGAAAGUUUUGGCCUGUUUUCAUUGUUUGAAGAAAACACGAUUUUCCUAUUGUCUUUAUUUGAAAGUUAAGAAUGGUUUUAAAAGGAGCAAGAGGAAUACCACACAGACAACAAGUCCACAAGAGGUGAACAAUGGUGGAUUUGUGUCAGUUUUCAUUCCUAAACUGGAAGAACAUUUCCCAGAUUUCCCAUCCCUGCAAAGUUUUGCGCUAGCUGGACAUAUUGAUUUGGAAGGUGGAAAUAAACAGAAGUGGCUGCCAUAUUCUUCUAAAACUGAGCAGAGGUCACCAGCUCACACGUGCAACUUAUUGCUGGUUUAUCUUAUGGGCAUGUGGUGGCAGGAAGGCUUGCAGCAACUACAAUUCCCACCGCAUCUCUUUUAGGGCUUCCCUGCUCCCUGGGCCUGCUGGAUGUUUAACUCCUUGACAGUAAGUGCCAGCUGGACAUUCCUUUCUUUAAGGUUGAGAGUUCCGAGUGCUGAGAGACUGAGACAACUUCUACAACUAUCCUUUUUUUUUAUGGGGUUCACUGUUCCACUUUGUCCCCUGCAAAAGUUGGCCCAGGAUCCCAGAAAGCUUUGUUGAAUCCUAUCUUAUGCAAACUCCUAUUAUUAGUGAAGCCCUGGGAUGCUUUUGGGACACCCUUUUUAAGAAACCAAAUAUGGAAAGUUCUAAAGGAAUAUAGUUAUCAGCCGGUAAAACCAAAAUAAAAUGACAAGGCUUUUCCAAAAAGCACACUUUAUAUCGCAGUUCUAGAUUAAUGGAAGCAAGGUCUACAUAAGACUCCUGGUUUUUUGAGUUGUGUAAAAGCUGAUCUUCAUCAAUGUUUAGCAACCUAUAGUGAACAUCAAGUAAAAUUAAAGCUUGGGUGUAAGAUAUCAAACUGAAAACAGUGGCAAAAAUGUAUAAAUUCAAAAGCACAAUAUAGACACUGAAAAAAAUUUAAUUUAUAUAAAUCUGAGGCACCUGUGGCUCAGUGGUUGAGCCUCUGCCUUUGGCUCAGGUCGUGA
Molecule: long non-coding RNA, 2242 nt
Organism: Canis lupus familiaris (dog)
Lineage: Eukaryota; Metazoa; Chordata; Mammalia; Carnivora; Canidae
Exons: 3
Source: RefSeq, a predicted model, not a curated record